CCAGACUCCUACGGGAGGCAGCAGUGGGGAAUAUUGGGCAAUGGAGGAAACUCUUACCCAGCAAUGCCGCGUGAAUGAAGAAGGUCUUCGGAUUGUAAAGUUCUUUAAUUGGGGACGAAAAAAAUGACGGUACCCAAGGAAUAAGCCCCGGCUAACUACGUGCCAGCAGCCGCGGUAAUACGUAGGGAGCAAGCGUUGUCCGGAAUUACUGGGCGUAAAGGGUGCGUAGGCGGACAGUCAAGUCAGCGGUAAAAAUGCGGUGCUCAACGCCGUACAGCCGUUGAAACUGGCAGUCUUGAGUGGGCGAGAAGUAUGCGGAAUGCGUGGUGUAGCGGUGAAAUGCAUAGAUAUCACGCAGAACUCCGAUUGCGAAGGCAGCAUACCGGCGCCCGACUGACGCUGAGGCACGAAAGCGUGGGUAUCGAACAGGAUUAGAUACCCCAGUAA
RNAcentral lists this ribosomal RNA (447 nucleotides) under uncultured bacterium. RNAcentral's name for it is "bacterial SSU rRNA". It matches the Rfam family "Bacterial small subunit ribosomal RNA", at positions 331 to 793 of the family's 1533-position model. The record is from RNAcentral.